UACGAAGGGUGCAAACGUUGCUCGGAAUCAUUGGGCGUAAAGCGCACGUAGGCGGCCCAGCAAGUUGGAUGUGAAAUCCCUCGGCUCAACCGAGGACGUGCAUCCAAAACUGCUGGGCUUGAGUACUGAAGAGGAUCGCGGAAUUCCCGGUGUAGAGGUGAAAUUCGUAGAUAUCGGGAGGAACACCAGUGGCGAAGGCGGCGAUCUGGGCAGAUACUGACGCUGAGGUGCGAAAGCGUGGGGAGCAAACAGGG
This 254-nucleotide ribosomal RNA is filed under the name uncultured bacterium. RNAcentral's name for it is "partial 16S ribosomal RNA". It matches the Rfam family "Bacterial small subunit ribosomal RNA", at positions 524 to 777 of the family's 1533-position model. The record is from RNAcentral.